ACAACGUCUUUUUUCAUUCACUCUUCUUCUUAUUUCUCCUCUAUCAAGAUGAUGGUUCGAACUUUGAAGGUAGAUAAUCAAGGGAAUCUAGAACUUAACAAUGGUGGUCGAACUACCUUUCCUCUCCCCUUUUUCUCUCUCUUAUUGAACUCUUCAAUUUCUAGGGUUCUUCAUUUUGAACGCUAAUUCUAUCCCCAGUUUGUCUCUUUAGCAGUUUAAGGUUCCUCAUAGUUUGGAAAGUCUGCUCCGAUCUACCGAUGCACCGCUGCAACGCUGCACCACUAAAUCGCCGCAACUAUGAACAUUGCGCCUCUAAACGUCGCGCCACCACUGCACUGUCUAGGCUUUGCAAGAUAAAAAAUUGAAGGGACAACUUGCUAUUAAAGAAGAGUUGUAUAAACGAUCUACAAAAACAGCAACGAAUGUUGAAAAGGCUGGUUUGAUUAACAAGAAGCUUGGGGUUUAUUAGUUUGAUUUCUUGUCGUAAAUCCAUUCCUGCUGCUCGCGGUGGCCACCUUUCUUCUUGGAGCUUCGAGGUCUCUAUCUAUUUGACGAGCAUAUCUCGUUAUUUCAGCUAUCUAAUAUCACCUUUUAUGCCUCGGAAGAAAAUCUGUUGCUGAAAUCAAAAAGGAUUUUCACGAAAUUCAAAAGUACUUGAAGAAUGCUUUCAUGACCGAGAUGAAAAAGAUAGACAAGCAUUGCAAAUUUAUUUUUGCCCCGUAUUUUGAAGGGCCGUACAAUAUAUAUAAGUCACAUCUUAAAGGCAUUGCGUUUGAAAAAAGAGUAAAUCGGAAUUGUUGCACUUAAGAAUGGAGGUACAUAUGUGUUUGCCCAUUUCCUAGCAAUUUUUCAUAUAAUAAUUAAAUAUUUUAAUGUAUCUAAUGUUAUAUUUCCAUGUAUUAGUGCACUUAACAACCAAGAAAUACUUAUUCCGGAUACUAUGUGAUGAGUACAUGUAUGAAAUCAUUUCUACAUACCAUGAAUGUAAGGGUGUCAGUUAAUUUACCCCUUUUAAUGAAUAUAUGUUGAUAGUAGGGUGCAAACAAUCUCAUAUGUUUUUGUCUCUGUUGUGCUGCUAUCUUUCUCGAUUGUUUCUUGCUUUACUUUGUUGAUUGUCUAGCAUCUUGGUGGAAUGUGGCUGUUGCUUGAAGUGCUUGAACCUUUGUUGAUCUAAAUUUUAGAAUGAUCAGGAAAGGGUUGUUAUAAGUUGUACUAUUGUCUAUUCUUCCAACUGAUAAGAUGUAAUAUUAAGUUGUUUCCUUAUAGCUGACUUCUUUAGCAAGUAUAUUUCCUUAGGUUUUGAUGCUUGCUUGAUGCUUCUGCUGCUCUUGCCUGUUGUUGUUGUUGCCUGUUGUUGCUGUUCCGCUUAUGUGCUCCUGCUGUUCUGCAUAGGUGCUGCUAUUGUUGCCUGCUGCUACUGUUCUACUUAUGUGUUGUUGUUCUGUUUCCGAGCUGCUGCUGUUUUGUUUCCGAGCUGCUGUUGUUCCGUUUCCAAGCAGCUGCUGUUUGUAAUUUUUUUUUUUUUGUAAGAAAUUGUAAUAUUACAAGCAUUUAUUAAUAAAAAUAUCUAAGUUUAUAUAUAUAUAAUGAUUUAUCAAUUUUACUUUUAUUUAGGCAUAAAAGGCACCAAAUCGAGGGGAAAUCGGUGCCCUUAAUUUAUGUUAAGGGCAUUGGUUUGAACCGGUGCCCUUAGUCGGCUUUGAACUAGUGCCGAUUACACUUUUUCUACUAGUGAUAUUAAAACGUUACCAUUUAAUUAUUAAGAUGUUACAUUAGUUUG
Chenopodium quinoa (quinoa) is the source of this 1780-nucleotide long non-coding RNA. RefSeq lists it as uncharacterized. NCBI's taxonomy places the organism in Eukaryota, Viridiplantae, Streptophyta, Magnoliopsida, Caryophyllales, Amaranthaceae. The transcript has 5 exons. The record is from RefSeq and is a predicted model, not a curated record.